Molecule: transfer RNA, 57 nt
Filed under: Sinentomon erythranum
Lineage: Eukaryota; Metazoa; Arthropoda; Protura; Sinentomata; Sinentomidae
Description: tRNA-Ile
Source: RNAcentral
GAUAGUUUACCUAAAUUGUUUAGGGUUACUUUGAUGUGGUAAAUUAUUUAACUAUUU